Molecule: non-coding RNA, 45 nt
Filed under: Schistosoma mansoni
Lineage: Eukaryota; Metazoa; Platyhelminthes; Trematoda; Strigeidida; Schistosomatidae
Source: RNAcentral
AUCUAACAGACGAGCCCCAAAUAGAACGAAACGCUCAUCCUGGAU